GGAGCUGUGGUGUAGCCUGGUCUAACACGUCGCCCUGUCACGGCGAAGAUCACGGGUUCAAAUCCCGUCAGCUCCGCCA
RNAcentral lists this transfer RNA (79 nucleotides) under Parcubacteria group bacterium CG_4_10_14_0_8_um_filter_35_7. RNAcentral describes it as "tRNA-Asp". It matches the Rfam family "tRNA". From Rfam's summary of the family: Transfer RNA (tRNA) molecules are approximately 80 nucleotides in length. Their secondary structure includes four short double-helical elements and three loops (D, anti-codon, and T loops). Further hydrogen bonds mediate the characteristic L-shaped molecular structure. tRNAs have two regions of fundamental functional importance: the anti-codon, which is responsible for specific mRNA codon recognition, and the 3' end, to which the tRNAs corresponding amino acid is attached (by aminoacyl-tRNA synthetases). tRNAs cope with the degeneracy of the genetic code in two manners: having more than one tRNA (with a specific anti-codon) for a particular amino acid; and 'wobble' base-pairing, i.e. permitting non-standard base-pairing at the 3rd anti-codon position. RNAcentral also lists the same sequence under 1 other name. The record is from RNAcentral.